Molecule: ribosomal RNA, 465 nt
Filed under: uncultured Klebsiella sp.
Lineage: Bacteria; Pseudomonadati; Pseudomonadota; Gammaproteobacteria; Enterobacterales; Enterobacteriaceae
Description: bacterial SSU rRNA
Rfam family: Bacterial small subunit ribosomal RNA
Source: RNAcentral
CCUACGGGUGGCAGCAGUGGGGAAUAUUGCACAAUGGGCGAAAGCCUGAUGCAGCCAUGCCGCGUGUGUGAAGAAGGCCUUCGGGUUGUAAAGCACUUUCAGCGGGGAGGAAGGCGUUAAUGUUAAUAACCUUGGCGAUUGACGUUACCCGCAGAAGAAGCACCGGCUAACUCCGUGCCAGCAGCCGCGGUAAUACGGAGGGUGCAAGCGUUAAUCGGAAUUACUGGGCGUAAAGCGCACGCAGGCGGUCUGUCAAGUCGGAUGUGAAAUCCCCGGGCUCAACCUGGGAACGGCAUUGGAAACUGGCAGGCUAGAGUCUUGUAGAGGGGGGUAGAAUUCCAUGUGUAGCGGUGAAAUGCGUAGAGAUAUGGAGGAAUACCGGUGGCGAAGGCGGCCCCCUGGACAAAGACUGACGCUCAUGUGCGAAAGCGUGGGGAGCAAACAGGAUUAGAUACCCGUGUAGUC